Long non-coding RNA from Ctenopharyngodon idella (grass carp), 1257 nucleotides. RefSeq lists it as uncharacterized. The transcript has 5 exons. Lineage: Eukaryota; Metazoa; Chordata; Actinopteri; Cypriniformes; Xenocyprididae. The record is from RefSeq and is a predicted model, not a curated record.
ACGGCUCACGUCAGACGCCAUUUUCAAAUUAAAGUUAUGUUUCUUCCUCGAUGAUGGUUUUAACGUACCAAACGUCUCUCCUAUCACACACUGCCGUCUACAGGAUGGGAGAAUCACAAGUCCAGACAAGACCGCGCACAGGACAUCAGUUCAUGCAGCUAUGAAAUCAGCAUGAAGCUGAGUGAAGGAGGCUUUGGAAGUGUUUAUGCGGGGAUUCGCUUGACAGAUGGCCUUAAGCAAAAAUCAGCACCCAAGGACCGGAUGGGCCGCCCCAGCUCCAGAACUCCCUGUCCCCACACACCAAUGCAUAACCCGCAUUGAUGUACGGACUAUCCAGGGAGACACAACCUGUACAUGCCCAAGAAGAACCUCUGGAACAAACAUGGCUUGUCACAAGAAUGCUGCCAAUUCAUUGGCUUCUGUCCCCAUACACCAAAGACAUCUGCCUCGUCUUCCUGCACAGAAUGCUGAAAUUUAAUUUGCUCUUGCCUGCAAGGUCACAGAUGUGGAGAAUACCUAAUGGAAAUCAUGUUGGCCUGUCCAGAGGUUCCUCUCAUGGUUGCCCGGUCUUUGCAUCCCUGAACCCCCAUUCUACCAAUUAGAAUAUAAUAAAAAUUAUUAUUAUUCCUCCUAUGACAGUAAUAGAACAUAUUGUAAAACAAAUGCACUGUAAAAUAAAUGAAUGUUUCAUAAGCAUAUUAUUUAAUGCUACAGUAGGGAAAAUACAAUACAAUAGUAAUUUCUACACUUGGAAGAGAUAAAGCCUUGCUUUUAUUUAGAUGGUAAACUAACGUUUGAGUGAAAGGUCUACAAACGCUUCUCAUUACAAAUCUAGUGAAAUGCUGUAAUUUUCACACAAAAAUGUUGGAAACUAUACAAAUGUGAAAACUGGUGUCCACUACGUCCCCAAUUGCAAGACCCACAGCACAUGCAGAGAUGGAUGGAGUUCACUCACUGCAUUCAUUCACUGUGAACCGAGAAAACACCGGAUCAGCUGAUGGCGUGCGUGAGCAAAGUGAGCACUUGAUUUUGAUACACUCAGAGUAAACAGACAUACUUAAUUAAAUUGCAGUCUUUUGCGAUUUGAUAAGGACUAAAGCCUUAUCGUGCUUUCGAUUUUAGUUCAUUUGACAGCAAUGGGGCAAAACAUGACAUUAAAGAAUUUUAUGUUAUUAUGAGAAGUUUAGACUAAACUUUCUGGAAAGUUAGCUUUGGUAAGCCAUUUUAAAUUCCCAAAAUAAAUUCCAAACAAACUUU